This is a long non-coding RNA of Zingiber officinale, 5828 nucleotides long. RefSeq lists it as uncharacterized. The record is from RefSeq and is a predicted model, not a curated record. Lineage: Eukaryota; Viridiplantae; Streptophyta; Magnoliopsida; Zingiberales; Zingiberaceae. The transcript is spliced from 3 exons.
CUUGAGUUGAUUCAAUUGGUACAUGAUCAAGGCCAACAAGUGAUUCAUUCCACAAAUGAAGAAGCUCAUACCCAAUCUAGUUCAACCCAUUCCUACUUAUUGAGCUUAACCCAAGUCAAACCCACCUCAACAAAACCCUGAUGCUGCAUUUGAACCUAACCUAAACCCCCAAAUAAACCCGGUUUAAACCAAGGUAAGACUAGGAUAUGUAUUCAGUAGUCAUGGAUACAUUUGAGGCUUUGACGGUGGAGGACACUGAACUUGACAAUAUUGAUCACAUGAAGAAGAUGCUCAAUACCAUUUAAGUGUAUUCCACUCCUAUUACUGAACCGUAUUCGACGAUCAUAAAUUCAGGGGAGUUUGUUCCAUUCCACUCUUUUAUUUUUCAUUAUAGAUAUCAUGUCUUUACUUUGAUGUAUGAAUAAUCUCUUGGUUUACGUUAGUAAUUUUGUUGGUUUUUGAGUUAUCUUGUUGGUUUUGUAAAUAGUUUUUUUAGUUUUUGGAAAUAAAAUGUACCCCUUACAUUUCUCUAUGUCAUUUUAGAUAUUUUGAAAGCUAGUUAAAUUUGAUUGUUAAGUUUUGAAAUUUAUUGUCAUGAAUGGAAUCUUGGAUUGCAUGAAGUUACUACUUAGUGAUGGAUUCUAGAGUGAUUAAUUGAGACGAUAAUUUGAAUACCUAGUGAGGAUUUAGCUUAUUUGUGUGAUGCACUUGUGUGAUUGUUACUCUAGAACUUGCUUUUGUUCUUUCAAAACCACAUUACAUUAGAAUCAUUCUUAUGAAGGUGAAUCUAUUUGUUUUUCUUUCUUCCACACAAUUUCUUGCUAAUUUUCGUGUCAAUCAUCAUAUCAUUUAACUUUUCUCAUUGGAUACUUUGGAUGUGGAUACAUGGAUUGUUAUAUGAUGAAUUAUUUGGCCAAGAUGGACAAGGUUUAAGUAAGGGGGAAGCUUCUAUUGUUUUGUUGAAUGGUUGCAAGAGAAUUUUGAUUGGAAAUAUUCAUUGGAAAGUUAUUAGUAAUAACUGCUAUGGAGUAAGUGAGGGAUAUAGAUUUGAUGUAUUUUGCAAGUGUAAUAGCUCAAGUGGUGGAAAUCACGUACACUAAUUUUUGUGUCAAGUUGCUGAUUUUUUAUGCCUAUUGUGGACACUGUUCUCUGAGCAAGUUAAUGAAGUUUACUUGGUAAACAUGUGAAUCAUUUAAAGUUGAAGUUGGAAAGGGUAGCUAAGAGGUUGUGAAAUUUGUGUAUCAAGUGUGUACCAAAAUAUUUGGGAGCAGCACUAAGUCAUUGAAAAACUCGAGUGGAACUCUUGUAUUUUCAGUAACAAAUGGUAUGUUGUUUUCUCAUGACCUCCAUGAACUAUAUAUCUGAAUUUAAGAAGCUCGGAAUUAUUGAAACAAUGAAGCACUGAAGGAGAUUUAAGGAACUGGAACUGAAAAGUGAGUGAGCUGUGGCAUUAAAAGAAAGGAAAUAGGAUUGGGAUCUUAGUUGGAGAAGUUCUGGUCCAUUCAAGAAGCAAAAUGGAUUACAAGCUUUAGAAGGCAGUGAUUAAGACAAAAGUAGUCACUUGGCAUAUAAAAAAAAUAGUGAUGAUGAAGGCAAGUUGCUGAAGCUUGUUUGAUCGAAAAGAGUGCUAAUGGAAUUGGAAGUUGUUUGUACUUGCCAUUCACACAAAAUGAGACCAUGUUCCAGCCAACAAAGGAAUGAGUUCUAAAGGCAGUAAGCUGGAAAACAGAAUGUAAUAGUGGCUGGAAAGCAAGCAGAAUCCAGAAUUACAGUUGUGACAGUAACAAAAGGGAAACUGAGGUUGCUCUUCAGUGCAGUAAUUUAGAGAUGGAAAUGCUGUUUGUAUUGGAGAACAAAUCUGUUGGUUCCUUAACUAUCUAACAUUGGAAUACAUUUUUGAGCUGAUUGUGAAGCAAAGGUUAAAGUUAAAUGAAAGAAUGAAGUGUUAGAUGCAGUAUAGAUUUACACAGGAAUAAGAGAUGUCAUGAACAGAGAAAAAAAUGAAAAGGAAAGAAGAGAAGCUGCAAUUUCAGAAACUGGACUUGUUGGAGCUGUGAUGAUUGUUGCUGAAUUCUGUGAUCAAAGCUGUUGGUGUUCAAUAGAUUUUGAUUUGGUUUUCUACCAAUGCAAUAGAGAUGCACAUCUCUAGCUGGAUGGCAUUGAGUGUUAGCUGCAAACAAAGAGAGAAAAUCUGAAAGGAAAGUCAUGUUAACUGAUCAGAAAUAUGGGGAUUGUUUUCAACAGUGAACUUUGUAUCGACCUAGCCUAUGGUAACAACCUCUUGCUGGAGCUCCCUAAUUACUGAAGAAUUAUAGUAGAGUUUUUGAUUACUCAUUGUUGGUUGAUGUUUUUUUUUCCCUUCCCAAUUGCUCUAUGUUUCAAAACUUGCAAGUCCAUUAAGUGGUAACUGAAUUUCUUAAGAAGUUGAAUUGUGAAUUGGAUUUUAGUUGAGUGCCAAUUUUGGUGUGCAGAUUUAUAAUUAUUGAGAGGUCUAAAUGAAGCUUUUGAUCCUUUGUGAUAGACAUCUGGUGUUCUCUUCUCCUCAAAUUCCUUGUGAUUCAAUACCCGAAAAUAUCGGGAAACUGAUUUCUGAAGCUACAAAUUACAAUCCAGAAAAUUAACAUCUGCCUGAAUUUGAAUUAUGAAAUUAUAAAACCUUUGACAGCUCAAUUCAUUGAGUUCCUGCUGAACUUGGUUUUUGAAUUGUGAAAUGUAGAGAAUCUUGCUUGUUAAGAACUGAAUUUGAUUUCUGUAACUUAAUUGAAGCUGUUGUCUGCUCAUUUCAUCAAAUCUUUGCUGAAUUUGAUUUUUUGGAAGUGAACUCCUGAAUUCAGAGAGAAAAUAAGGGAUUGAUGCCAUCUUGGAGUCUUUGCAGCUACUAUUGGUGAAGUUGCUGAAUUUAAAUCAGCUGCUGGAUUGUUUCAAACAGAUGAAAUUUUGGCACACUGCAGCUGUAAUUUAGUAAAUUGGAAUUUUAGGAUUUAACAAUAAUCAAAAUACUAGGAGACAUGUUUAGUAGGGGAAACCUUGGAAGACAGUGAUAACAAUUGAAGCUUUAAUGGAAUCUGUAAUUUUCAGGAAUUAAUAGAUAUCAGCAUCUCAGAAAUUCUGAAAUAUGUUAAAGCUACUGAAAAUUUCUGAAUUCUUCGGAAAUCAAACCAUAUUCAGUAUUUAGUUGACAAUGCAUGAAUGGCUAGUAGUGGAGUUUCAAGAGAUGCUGUAAUUGGUUCAUUAGCCUUGUUUCAGUUCUUUACCAAAGCAAUAUAAAUGCAAUUUUUAAGAUGUUUAGACAACAAAUGUCAUCUAAAAAAAAGGAAAUUGUUAACGUCUUUGAAUCUGAUUUUUUUAGUAAAUUGGUAGGAAUUUUGGAGUAGGUUAUGAGUUCAUAGAUUGGAAGGACACAAGAACAACCUACGGUUGCAUCUGAAAUUGGUCUCUGAAUCUCAAAAACAAGAACAUAAAUAGGAAUGCAGGGAUGUUGCUAGUUUCUGAUCAAUAACAGCUUCAAAUGGUGAACUUGAUCUGGGUACUAAUUUCUGAAACUGAGGCAGUAAAGUGGAGAACUUCAUUAACUCUUGUUGGGUGCCAAUCCUUAAUUCAGAGACUCUGAAAUCUGAUAGAGUUACUGAAAAUUUCUAAAAAUUUCAGAAUCAAUCCAUAUUCGGUGUUUAUUUGUUUCUUCCAUUGAUAAGUUGGCACGAGUUAAUUGGAUAGCAUAAUGUAUUACAUUGUCCGAAAUGGACAAUGUUUUAAGUGUGAGGGAGGAGCAUGUAGGCUAAGUCCAUAAUUCUGAUUAAGAGGGAAUUGAAAAUUCAAGCUUUUAUUGGUUGAGUGUUCAAUGAGAUAGAUUAUGGAGAUUAAACUUGAAAGUUCGAAAUGAGAUUCUAAGGAAAUCAUAACUUGAGCUGAAUCAGAAAUGAAGGUUGCUGGAUUUGAGCUACACAAUGCUACUGCACAGAAUUCAGAAGUUAACCACAUUAAAAACAUUAAGAGACAUGUUGAAGAAGAGAUUUGGGAAUGAUAAUGAAAUCAACUGAAGCUCAAUCUGUACAAUGAAGCUGGAAUCAAGUGUAGUUGUUUGUGGGAAUUUUUGUGCCAAUGGUGUACCAAAUUUCGGGAGCAGAACUGAAAUCAGCAAGAAGGCCAAGUGAAGCCCUGGUAUUUACAAAAAUAAAUAGUAUUCUUCUCCCUCCAUGACCUAACGGUAUUUCUGGAUUUGGAAGCUAGGAAUAACUGAAAUAAUGUAACCAAUGCAAGAAAUUUUAGAAACAGGGAAAACAAUGAGAUUUGCAGCUGCUGGUAAUCUGAUCAUUAUGGAUCAAGAUUUGGAAUUUAAUUUAUGCGUACAAUUCCACUCAUGAAGCACUUGAAGAUAGUAUCAUUAAAUCUGAAAACAAGGAAAAGAUAGUUCUUGAUACUCAAAGCAGUGAGGUGUAAAGGGAAAAAAAAAAUUCAGUUAUGGAGUUGUAUCUAGUGUGUAUCAAACUUUUAUCAACUCUCAAAGUAGCGAGGAAAACUAGUGAACCUCUUACAUUUAUAGAUUCCGAUGGUGUCUCAAUUCUUCCUAAGCCUUUCUAAAUUGCUUUGAAUAGAAUUUUGAAAGUAUCAAACGGUUUAUAUGGAAAAUUGUGAGUUGUUUGAAUAGGGUGAGUGUAAUUUGGGGUGCAGAAUUUGAAAUUAAAUUGGUGAGCAUCUUUUUACUUAUGAAGUACUUCAAAUUGAAACAUUUUUUCUGAAGAAAUGAAGACAAUCACUGCCAAUUGAUACCAAAAUAUGGAAGCCAGCGAAUGGUAACAGAUUGGUUUAAAUCUGUUUGGAAUCAAUUUGUAAGAUUUAGGUCACAACUGAUAUGUACUUCUUGUAUAACAAGGAAUGAGUUCUAACUACAAACAUUUUAAUAGCUAUCAGUGGGAGUUAUAUUUACAAAGCAACAAACUCUCAAAUUGCUGGAAAAGAAUCUGCUGGAAGCUGCUGUAUGCUGUGCAGAAAUUAUAGAAGAAUGUUGUAAUGAUUGUUCUGAUUAGAAACUUCUAGUUGUUGUAAUUAGAAUUAAAAACUUGUUGGAUGACAGCUGUAUAAACUGUUGUUCUCCAUUGUAAUACAAGAGCGAACAAGAAACGAUGAGCUCAAAGAAAAGAUUAGCUGAAUGUUAGCAAAUUGCAGAAUCAGAAAUAGUUUGAAAUUGUACAGAAGUGGUCAGAACUGAAGUUUGGAACUUUAGGGGGCUGAAUAGGAAAGCAACAAGAGCCAAUGAACUCAAGAUCCAAAACUAAGCUAAUGAUGCUAUGAAUGAAUGUAUCAACCUAAACUUGUGGCAUGCUAAGUCCUUCCUGCAGAUUUCUUAUCAGUGAAAAGUUCAAUAGAAAUUCCUAUCCUCUUAUUGUUGCUUGUUGUUCACUUCUCUUGCACUCUUCUCUGCACUGGAGUCUGAAACUAGUGUAGCUGAUGACUUAAAGGACUGUUGUUGGAAUUGUCAACAAAAGUUCAUACGAGUUUGGUGCCAAAUUCAGUUGAUGAAUGGUUGCUGGGAAGCUGCUGUUGAAUCAAAUCUAUUGAGUAUAUGUUUUGUUCGGAAUCAAAUAAGAUGAGCACUUCCUAGCUAACCAAGGGAGGAGUUUUAAUUGCAAAUGAAGAAAAGUUAAUGGAAGUCCUAGAGUUCAAGCUAAAAUCUGUCAAAACAGAAAAGCAGUGAGGACACUUGAGUUGAUUCAAUUGGUAUAUGAUCAAGGCCAACAAGUGGUUCAUUCUACAAAUGAAGAAGCUCAUACCCAAUCUAGUUCAACCCAUUCCUACUUAUUGAGCUUAACACAAGUUUCUUUUUAAUUAAC